RNAcentral lists this ribosomal RNA (515 nucleotides) under uncultured bacterium. RNAcentral's name for it is "partial 16S ribosomal RNA". It matches the Rfam family "Bacterial small subunit ribosomal RNA", at positions 28 to 523 of the family's 1533-position model. The record is from RNAcentral.
GAUGAACGCUGGCGGCGUGCCUAAUACAUGCAAGUCGAGCGAAUGGAUUGAGAGCUUGCUCUUAUGAAGUUAGCGGCGGACGGGUGAGUAACACGUGGGUAACCUGCCCAUAAGACUGGGAUAACUCCGGGAAACCGGGGCUAAUACCGGAUAACAUUUUGAACCGCAUGGUUCGGAAUUGACAGGCGGCUUCGGCUGUCACUUAUGGAUGGACCCGCGUCGCAUUAGGUAGUUGGUGAGGUAACGGCUCACGAAGGCAACGAGGCGUAGCCGACCUGAGAGGGUGAUCGGCCACGCGGGGACUGAGACACGGCCCAGACUCCUACGGGAGGCAGCAGUAGGGAAUCUUCCGCAAUGGACGAAAGUCUGACGGAGCAACGCCGCGUGAGUGAUGAAGGCUUUCGGGUCGUAAAACUCUGUUGUUAGGGAAGAACAAGUGCUAGCUGAAUAAGCUGGCACCUUGACGGUACCUAACCAGAAAACCACGGCUAACUACGUGCCAGCAGCCGCAGUAA